CGCAAGUUUUGCCAAGUAACGAAGAGAGCGAGGAGCUCCGAGAUCGUGUACCGGUAUAUGCCUGGUGUUUAAGUCAACUAAGAAAGGGCGGAUUAUCGCUUUGGUGUCAGUUAUUAACACUCGGACACCUGCGCCGUGGGAUAAGUUGCUAUCGCUCCGGACAGGGCUAGCAUCCGCGACUUAUCUUACAACUUCUUACUUCUCUAUUUGGCUUGGAUCAAGGUUUCUUUUGCGUUCACUUGCGAUGUUCUGAGUGUGUUAUAAAGGAUUGGGACUGAUGAAGGGAGUUGAGGAGUUCUACCAAACACAACGGAGAAAGGAGUAUAAUUAGUUCCUUCAUAGACAGAAGUAUUAUACCCUUAUAGAAAU
Odontomachus brunneus is the source of this 369-nucleotide long non-coding RNA. RefSeq lists it as uncharacterized. The transcript has 3 exons. NCBI's taxonomy places the organism in Eukaryota, Metazoa, Arthropoda, Insecta, Hymenoptera, Formicidae. The record is from RefSeq and is a predicted model, not a curated record.